Molecule: microRNA precursor, 227 nt
Filed under: Pelobates cultripes (western spadefoot toad)
Lineage: Eukaryota; Metazoa; Chordata; Amphibia; Anura; Pelobatidae
Source: RNAcentral
CAUACCAAUUGCAAAAGUAGACUACCCAAAGUUUUGCAAGUGGGUUAUGUCUUUUGUAGUAGCCACUUAGUCAAACACUGGCCAGAGUUAGCAUUCAAAUUUGUUUUUGUGUGAAAAAAAGCAAAAAACAAAUAUUUGGCCAGUGUUUGUGAAUAAGUGGCUACUAAAAAUGACUGUACAUACCCCAUUUGCAAUACCUUGGGUUGUCUACUUUUGCAAAUGGUAUG